GCCGGUCGAAGAUACCAGGCCGCUGCGACUGUUUAUUAAAAACACAGCACUCUGCAAACACGAAAGUGGACGUAUAGGGUGUGACGCCUGCCCGGUGCCGGAAGGUUAAUUGAUGGGGUUAGCUAACGCGAAGCUCUUGAUCGAAGCCCCGGUAAACGGCGGCCGUAACUAUAACGGUCCUAAGGUAGCGAAAUUCCUUGUCGGGUAAGUUCCGACCUGCACGAAUGGCGUAACGAUGGCGGCGCUGUCUCCACCCGAGACUCAGUGAAAUUGAAAUCGCUGUGAAGAUGCAGUGUAUCCGCGGCUAGACGGAAAGACCCCGUGAACCUUUACUAUAGCUUUGCACUGGACUUUGAAUUUGCUUGUGUAGGAUAGGUGGGAGGCUUUGAAGCGUGGACGCCAGUUCGCGUGGAGCCAUCCUUGAAAUACCACCCUGGCAACUUUGAGGUUCUAACUCAGGUCCGUUAUCCGGAUCGAGGACAGUGUAUGGUGGGUAGUUUGACUGGGGCGGUCUCCUCCUAAAGAGUAACGGAGGAGUACGAAGGUGCGCUCAGACCGGUCGGAAAUCGGUCGUAGAGUAUAAAGGCAAAAGCGCGCUUGACUGCGAGACAGACACGUCGAGCAGGUACGAAAGUAGGUCUUAGUGAUCCGGUGGUUCUGUAUGGAAGGGCCAUCGCUCAACGGAUAAAAGGUACUCCGGGGAUAACAGGCUGAUACCGCCCAAGAGUUCAUAUCGACGGCGGUGUUUGGCACCUCGAUGUCGGCUCAUCACAUCCUGGGGCUGAAGCCGGUCCCAAGGGUAUGGCUGUUCGCCAUUUAAAGUGGUACGCGAGCUGGGUUUAGAACGUCGUGAGACAGUUCGGUCCCUAUCUGCCGUGGACGUUUGAGAUUUGAGAGGGGCUGCUCCUAGUACGAGAGGACCGGAGUGGACGAACCUCUGGUGUUCCGGUUGUCACGCCAGUGGCAUUGCCGGGUAGCUAUGUUCGGAAAAGAUAACCGCUGAAAGCAUCUAAGCGGGAAACUUGCCUCAAGAUGAGAUCUCACUGGAACCUUGAGUUCCCU
Molecule: ribosomal RNA, 1062 nt
Filed under: Crepidotus sp. BD-2015
Lineage: Eukaryota; Fungi; Basidiomycota; Agaricomycetes; Agaricales; Crepidotaceae
Description: bacterial LSU rRNA
Rfam family: Bacterial large subunit ribosomal RNA
Source: RNAcentral